Molecule: ribosomal RNA, 470 nt
Filed under: uncultured bacterium
Lineage: Bacteria
Description: bacterial SSU rRNA
Rfam family: Bacterial small subunit ribosomal RNA
Source: RNAcentral
UGGGGAAUAUUGGACAAUGGGCGAAAGCCUGAUCCAGCCAUGCCGCGUGUGUGAAGAAGGUCUUCGGAUUGUAAAGCACUUUAAGUUGGGAGGAAGGGCAGUUACCUAAUACGUGAUUGUUUUGACGUUACCGACAGAAUAAGCACCGGCUAACUCUGUGCCAGCAGCCGCGGUAAUACAGAGGGUGCAAGCGUUAAUCGGAAUUACUGGGCGUAAAGCGCGCGUAGGUGGUUAGUUAAGUUGGAUGUGAAAUCCCCGGGCUCAACCUGGGAACUGCAUUCAAAACUGACUGACUAGAGUAUGGUAGAGGUGUGGAAUUUCCUGUGUAGCGGUGAAAUGCGUAGAUAUAGGAAGGAACACCAGUGGCGAAGGCGACCACCUGGACUGAUACUGACACUGAGGUGCGAAAGCGUGGGGAGCAAACAGGAUUAGAUACCCAAGUAGUCCCUGAGCGGGCUGGCAAGGCGCAU